Apis dorsata (giant honeybee) is the source of this 810-nucleotide long non-coding RNA. RefSeq lists it as uncharacterized. NCBI's taxonomy places the organism in Eukaryota, Metazoa, Arthropoda, Insecta, Hymenoptera, Apidae. The transcript has 2 exons. The record is from RefSeq and is a predicted model, not a curated record.
UUAUAGCAUACUAUUAAAGGUAGAGUAUUGAUAAAAUUCAUUAUAAUUAAUAUUUGUAGAAACGUAUAUUACUAAUUUUAACUUCACAGGAUAUCUAUAUAUAAUAAUUAAAUUCUAAGAAACACGUAAUACUAUCAGAUGCAGUUAACGCGGUCAUUAUAAUAGGAAUAUUUAACGUAACAAUAAAUUAAAAAUAACAAUAAAUUAAAUGAAUAUCUUGAUGAUUAAAUGAUAAAAUGGUAGUAUAGAACUGAUCUAAUAAAACUAUACAUUUUCUGAAAUAAAAUGUUAAAAUAAUAUUAAAAAGAAAAUAUCAGUUCUUAAUUUCAGAAAAAAAAAGAGAAGAAAAAAAAUCGUAAGAUAGAACAAGUAUGUAAGUAAAUUUUUCUCAAUUUAAUGGUAUGAAGUUGCCAACAAAGAAAACUAAUAGUCAAAUGUUCAAUAUAUUUUAAAAUAGUUUUUUCCUUUUUAUGAACUUUUAAUGACAGAUUUUUAAUAUUAAUUUUUUAUAAGAAUUAAUAACGUGCCCAAAUAUAUUAUUUAUUAAAUUUGUAUAAUGAUAAAUCGAGGAAAUAAUAACAAUUAUGUGUCAAGCUUUUAAUAUUAUGCAAGAUAAUACUGAGAUGCAAAAUCAUGGACAUUUUCGUUGGUUAUACAAGGUUCGUUAAUAAACUUAAGUUAUUAUUUGUAAUUCUAACUGUAAUUCUUACUAUAUUCCAAAAUGAUAUUAAUUAUAAUAUCAAUAAUAUAAUACAUAUAGUUAAUAAUUAAGUGAAAGGAAUAAAAUCAGAAAUAGAAUAAAAAAAAUAA